Molecule: ribosomal RNA, 497 nt
Filed under: uncultured bacterium
Lineage: Bacteria
Description: partial 16S ribosomal RNA
Rfam family: Bacterial small subunit ribosomal RNA
Source: RNAcentral
GAUGAACGCUGGCGGCGUGCCUAAUACAUGCAAGUCGAGCGAACAGAUAAGGAGCUUGCUCCUUUGACGUUAGCGGCGGACGGGUGAGUAACACGUGGAUAACCUACCUAUAAGACUGGGAUAACUUCGGGAAACCGGAGCUAAUACCGGAUAACAUAUUGAACCGCAUGGUUCACUAGUGAAAGGCGGCUUUGCUGUCACUUAUAGAUGGAUCCGCGCCGUAUUAGCUAGUUGGUAAGGUAACGGCUUACCAAGGCAACGAUACGUAGCCGACCUGAGAGGGUGAUCGGCAAAACGAGAGAGAGCACACAGGCCAUACUCCUAGGGGAGGUAGCAGUAGGGAACCUUACGAGAAGGGAGGGAACCUAGCGGAGCAACGCCACGAGAAAGGUGAAGGUCUUCGGAACGUAAAACUCUGUUAUCAGGGAAGAACGAAUGUGUAAGAAACUGAACACAUCUUGACGGUACCUGAUCAAAAAGCCACGGCUAACUACGUG